GACGAACGCUGGCGGCGUGCUUAACACAUGCAAGUCGAACGGAAAGGCCCUGCUUUUGUGGGGUGCUCGAGUGGCGAACGGGUGAGUAACACGUGAGUAACCUGCCCUUGACUUUGGGAUAACUUCAGGAAACUGGGGCUAAUACCGGAUAGGAGCUCCUGCUGCAUGGUGGGGGUUGGAAAGUUUCGGCGGUUGGGGAUGGACUCGCGGCUUAUCAGCUUGUUGGUGGGGUAGUGGCUUACCAAGGCUUUGACGGGUAGCCGGCCUGAGAGGGUGACCGGCCACAUUGGGACUGAGAUACGGCCCAGACUCCUCCGGGAGGCAGGGGUGGGGAAUAUUGCACAAUGGGCGGAAGCCUGGUGCAGCAACGCCGCGUGCGGGAUGACGGCCUUCGGGUUGUAAACCGCUUUCGCCUGUGACGAAGCGUGAGUGACGGUAAUGGGUAAAGAAGCACCGGCUAACUACGUG
This 468-nucleotide ribosomal RNA is filed under the name uncultured bacterium. RNAcentral's name for it is "partial 16S ribosomal RNA". It matches the Rfam family "Bacterial small subunit ribosomal RNA", at positions 28 to 507 of the family's 1533-position model. The record is from RNAcentral.